Molecule: ribosomal RNA, 121 nt
Filed under: Desulfatitalea sp. BRH_c12
Lineage: Bacteria; Pseudomonadati; Thermodesulfobacteriota; Desulfobacteria; Desulfobacterales; Desulfosarcinaceae
Source: RNAcentral
UUCGGUGGCAAUGGCGAAGGUGAGACACCCGUUCCCAUCCCGAACACGGAAGUUAAGCCCUUCUGCGCCGAUGGUACUGCACGGGAAGCUGUGUGGGAGAGUAGGUCGCCGCCGAAAAAUC